This 443-nucleotide ribosomal RNA is filed under the name uncultured bacterium. RNAcentral describes it as "SSU rRNA". It matches the Rfam family "Bacterial small subunit ribosomal RNA", at positions 26 to 518 of the family's 1533-position model. The record is from RNAcentral.
AGAACGAACGCUGGCGGCAUGCCUAACACAUGCAAGUCGAACGCUCUCUUCGGAGGGAGUGGCGCACGGGUGAGUAACGCGUGGGAACCUGCCUUGGAGUGGGGGAUAACCGAUGGAAACGUCGGCUAAUACCGCAUACGUCCUGAGGGAGAAAGAUUUAUCGCUCUGAGAGGGGCCCGCGUCGGAUUAGCUAGUUGGUGGGGUAACGGCCUACCAAGGCGAUGAUCCGUAGUUGGUCUGAGAGGAUGAUCAGCCACACUGGGACUGAGACACGGCCCAGACUCCUACGGGAGGCAGCAGUGGGGAAUAUUGGACAAUGGGCGCAAGCCUGAUCCAGCAAUGCCGCGUGAGUGAUGACGGCCUUAGGGUUGUAAAGCUCUUUCGGCGGGACGAUGAUGACGGUACCGCAGAAGAAGCCCGGCUAACUUCGUGCCAGCAGCCGC